ACGAUGAAUCUUCUAGCUUGCUAGAAGUGGAUUAGUGGCGCACGCGUGAGUAAUGCAUAGGUUAUGUGCCCUUUAGUCUGGGAUAGCCACUGGAAACGGUGAUUAAUACUGGAUACUCCCUACGGGGGAAAGUUUUUCGCUAAAGGAUCAGCCUAUGUCCUAUCAGCUUGUUGGUGAGGUAAUGGCUCACCAAGGCUAUGACGGGUAUCCGGCCUGAGAGGGUGAUCGGACACACCGGAACUGAGACACGGUCCAGACUCCUACGGGAGGCAGCAGUAGGGAAUAUUGCUCAAUGGGGGAAACCCUGAAGCAGCAACGCCGCGUGGAGGAUGAAGGUUUUAGGAUUGUAAACUCCUUUUGUUAGAGAAGAUUAUGACGGUAUCUAACGAAUAAGCACCGGCUAACUCCGUGCCAGCAGCCGCGGUAAUACGGAGGGUGCAAGCGUUACUCGGAAUCACUGGGCGUAAAGAGUGCGUAGGCGGGGUAAUAAGUCAGAUGUGAAAUCCUGUAGCAUAACUACAGAACUGCAUUUGAAACUGUUACUCUGGAGUGUGGGAGAGGUAGGUGGAAUUCUUGGUGUAGGGGUAAAAUCCGUAGAGAUCAAGAGGAAUACUCAUUGCGAAGGCGACCUGCUGGAACAUUACUGACGCUGAUGCACGAAAGCGUGGGGAGCAAACAGGAUUAGAUACCCUGGUAGUCCACGCCCUAAACGAUGGAUGCUAGUUGUUGCCUUGCUUGUCAGGGCAGUAAUGCAGCUAACGCAUUAAGCAUCCCGCCUGGGGAGUACGGUCGCAAGAUUAAAACUCAAAGGAAUAGACGGGGACCCGCACAAGCGGUGGAGCAUGUGGUUUAAUUC
RNAcentral lists this ribosomal RNA (856 nucleotides) under uncultured bacterium. Its description in RNAcentral is "bacterial SSU rRNA". It matches the Rfam family "Bacterial small subunit ribosomal RNA", at positions 66 to 952 of the family's 1533-position model. The record is from RNAcentral.